This 73-nucleotide transfer RNA is filed under the name Candidatus Dadabacteria bacterium. Its description in RNAcentral is "tRNA-Glu". It matches the Rfam family "tRNA". Rfam says of the family: Transfer RNA (tRNA) molecules are approximately 80 nucleotides in length. The record is from RNAcentral. Lineage: Bacteria; Pseudomonadati; Thermodesulfobacteriota; Candidatus Dadabacteria.
GGCCCCAUCGUCUAGUGGUCCAGGACGCUGGCCUCUCACGCCGGAAACCCGGGUUCGAACCCCGGUGGGGUCA